Long non-coding RNA from Oreochromis aureus, 1728 nucleotides. NCBI's taxonomy places the organism in Eukaryota, Metazoa, Chordata, Actinopteri, Cichliformes, Cichlidae. The record is from Ensembl.
CUGGCCCUGGUUCUCCAACUGAUCCAUGUUUACCCUGCAGGUGUCACGCCCGGUGUGGCAGGCGUGUGGAGUUUGUAGAGAGGACCCAGAAGGCGGCAGCUCUGGUGCAGUGUUUUAUUUAUAUUGCAUGUCUUUGGUUACACCGUCAAUCUGUCCUGGAGAGACUCCGCCCUUUUCCCAUUUCACUGAUUGGACACACCUGAGAGAAGAGGAGUGAGGGGUAAUUUACACAGAGUGCUCAGUGACUCAAGACUCUGGUACAGCUUGGCGUGAAAGGAGGGAAAGCCAGCGACGCGGGGCGAACGAUCCGACUGCUGCAGCAACGGGAGGGAGAUACGGCGCCAGCGAUCGAGGGCGCGGAGCGAGCGGUCCGACGGCUGCAGCAACGGAAGCCCAGAUUACGCGUCUGCGAAGAAUUAGAGGCGGCGAGGCAGGCCAGUGCCAUUUACCGGUCACAAGGAAGCAGCGGGCAGAGUUGAGAGCUCUGCCCACCCGGGGUAAGUCUUUUUGACUUGUCCCCUUUUAAUGAACGCUAGCUCCCUAAAAGAGUAGUGACUGCUGCUGCCUUUCCUUUUUUAGCGCAUUGGGGCGCAGAACGCGGAGAGGAAGGCGAGGACGCUGCCGGGUUCCCUCCCUGUAUUGCUUCACCGGAUUUGUUAUUAGUGACUCUUAUACCGUGGCGCACGCCGCUGGACUUUUAACGUUGUGUUUUAUUGAUUUUUAUUGUUGUCCCCUGGCCAGGGCUGUUUUAAUCUAUUUUAUAUAUUUCUUUAACUGUUUAAAUGUAAUAAAUUAUAUUUUAUCCUUACAGUUUUUAAAUUUGUGUGCAUUCCCUUGGCUGCCCCACUGCUCUGUCCGUUUUAGGAGCGUUUCUCUCUUUUUUAACAUCUGUGCAAAGAAACACCUUCCCUCCGUUACACAUCCCAGAUAGCAAGACGACAUUGAAUCUAUGUUGAUUUUUCAUCCGAACCGUCGUAUAUGGUCGGGGUUGAAAUGCCAAUGUUGUAACAACAUUGAAAUACUGUGGUAAACCGACGGUCUUACUAUAGAGACGUUGUAACGAUGUUGAUUCACCGUUGUUUUUUUGUCAUUGAUAUUUGAUCUAUUUGUAGUCGACCAGGUGACAACAACAACGUCGAGAAAACGUCUAUUUAUAGUUGACGAUCAUUCGGCUCCGGUCACCAUCAAAAACCAUCGAUUUGUAGUUGAGCAUUAAAUUGCACUGCAACUGAUCGGGUAUAAAGUACCAGAGAAAGUAGAUUUAUUGUUCAUUUGUUAUCAAUGACUUGGUCUAGUUCACCAGCUUUAAAAAAAUCAUGUCUACGUGCAAUUUAUGUAUAGUUGACCGGGAAAUUAAAGCAGCGAUCACUUGGACUAUUCCGCAGCACCCCUCUCACAUUGGUACAUCCCCCCAGGUAUUCAUUGUCUUCUACAGUAGAGCGGGACAUUUGAUUUACUCUCAGUGGAAUUGACCGGAGAAGGCAUCAGGUCAUGCACUGCACUGGCCUGCACCACGAUUAGUAUAAGGCACAUUUCACGAAGCAGAACGCAGUCUUCAGAGAUAUCCACGUGAACGCUGUGAUACGUCUGACCUUCAGUCCGAAAAAGAAAACCCAGACCAGUCUUAAAAGAAAGCACAAACCAAAUCCCCUGUACACAUAUACGGACUCAGAGGAUGAGCAGCCUACAAAAAACGGUUUCCCCAGGCCCCUCGAGUGAAAAUACCAG